Non-coding RNA from Potamilus streckersoni, 79 nucleotides. The record is from the annotation of a GenBank genome assembly. Lineage: Eukaryota; Metazoa; Mollusca; Bivalvia; Unionida; Unionidae.
GCUCAGGUGGCCUAGUGGUUAGAGCGUCUGCCGCGGGUGCGGGAGGUUGUGGAUUCAAACCCCGACCUAGUCUUAAACA